GACGAACGCUGGCGGCGUGCCUAAUACAUGCAAGUUGAGCGAUGAAGAUUGGUGCUUGCACCAAUUUGAAGAGCAGCGAACGGGUGAGUAACGCGUGGGGAAUCUGCCUUUGAGCGGGGGACAACAUUUGGAAACGAAUGCUAAUACCGCAUAACAACUUUAAACAUAAGUUUUAAGUUUGAAAGAUGCAAUUGCAUCACUCAAAGAUGAUCCCGCGUUGUAUUAGCUAGUUGGUGAGGUAAAGGCUCACCAAGGCGAUGAUACAUAGCCGACCUGAGAGGGUGAUCGGCCACAUUGGGACUGAGACACGGCCCAAACUCCUACGGGAGGCAGCAGUAGGGAAUCUUCGGCAACAGACGAAAGUCUGACCGAGCAACGCCGCGUGAGUGAAGAAGGUUUUCGGAUCGUAAAACUCGGUUGGUAGAGAAGAACGUUGGUGAGAGUGGAAAGCUCAUCAAGUGACGGUAACUACCCAGAAAGGGACGGCUAACUACGUG
RNAcentral lists this ribosomal RNA (497 nucleotides) under uncultured bacterium. Its description in RNAcentral is "partial 16S ribosomal RNA". It matches the Rfam family "Bacterial small subunit ribosomal RNA", at positions 28 to 507 of the family's 1533-position model. The record is from RNAcentral.